CAGCCGCCGCGGGAAAACGGAGGAUCCGAGCGUUAUCCGGAAUUAUUGGGUUUAAAGGGUGCGUAGGCGGAUAGAUAAGUCAGUGGUGAAAGACGGUGGCUCAACCAUCGCAGUGCCGUUGAUACUGUUUAUCUUGAAUAUGGAUGAGGUAGGCGGAAUGUGGCAAGUAGCGGUGAAAUGCACAGAUAUGCCACAGAACACCGAUUGCGAAGGCAGCUUACCAAGGCAAAAUUGACGCUGAGGCACGAAAGCGUGGGGAUCGAACAGGAUUAGAUACCCCUGUAGUCCCUGUCUCUUAUAU
RNAcentral lists this ribosomal RNA (301 nucleotides) under uncultured bacterium. RNAcentral describes it as "partial 16S ribosomal RNA". It matches the Rfam family "Bacterial small subunit ribosomal RNA", at positions 509 to 809 of the family's 1533-position model. The record is from RNAcentral.